GAUCCUGGCUCAGGAUGAACGCUGACAGAAUGCUUAACACAUGCAAGUCGACUCGAGUCUUCGGACUUGGGUGGCGCACGGGUGAGUAACGCGUAAAGAACUUGCCUCUUAGACCGGGACAACAUCUGGAAACGGAUGCUAAUACCGGAUAUUAUGGUUUUUACGCAUGGAGGAAUCAUGAAAGCUAGAUGCGCUAAGAGAGAGCUUUGCGUCCCAUUAGCUGGUUGGUGAGGUAACCGG
This 240-nucleotide ribosomal RNA is filed under the name uncultured bacterium. RNAcentral describes it as "partial 16S ribosomal RNA". It matches the Rfam family "Bacterial small subunit ribosomal RNA", at positions 15 to 263 of the family's 1533-position model. The record is from RNAcentral.